This 425-nucleotide ribosomal RNA is filed under the name uncultured bacterium. RNAcentral describes it as "partial 16S ribosomal RNA". It matches the Rfam family "Bacterial small subunit ribosomal RNA", at positions 354 to 796 of the family's 1533-position model. The record is from RNAcentral.
GUUAGGAAUAUUGGACAAUGGGCGCAAGCCUGAUCCAGCCAUGCCGCGUGAGUGAUGAAGGCCUUCGGGUUGUAAAGCUCUUUAGUCCACGAAUAUAAUGACUGUAGUGGAAGAAUAAGCCCCGGCUAACUUCGUGCCAGCAGCCGCGGUAAUACGAAGGGGGCGAGCGUUAUUCGGAAUCACUGGGCGUAAAGCGUGCGUAGGCUGUUUUGUAAGUCAGAAGUGAAAGCCCAGGGCUUAACACUGGAAUUGCUUUUGAAACUACAAGACUCGAAUUCGGGAGAGGAUAGCGGAAUUGUCAGUGUAGCAGUGAAAUGCGUAGAUAUUGACAGGAACACCAGUGGCGCAAGCGGCUAUCUGGACCGAUAUUGACGCUGAGGCACGAAAGCGUGGGGAGCAAACAGGAUUAGAAACCCGGGUAGUCC